RNAcentral lists this transfer RNA (72 nucleotides) under Canis lupus familiaris (dog). It matches the Rfam family "tRNA". Rfam says of the family: Transfer RNA (tRNA) molecules are approximately 80 nucleotides in length. Their secondary structure includes four short double-helical elements and three loops (D, anti-codon, and T loops). Further hydrogen bonds mediate the characteristic L-shaped molecular structure. tRNAs have two regions of fundamental functional importance: the anti-codon, which is responsible for specific mRNA codon recognition, and the 3' end, to which the tRNAs corresponding amino acid is attached (by aminoacyl-tRNA synthetases). tRNAs cope with the degeneracy of the genetic code in two manners: having more than one tRNA (with a specific anti-codon) for a particular amino acid; and 'wobble' base-pairing, i.e. permitting non-standard base-pairing at the 3rd anti-codon position. Lineage: Eukaryota; Metazoa; Chordata; Mammalia; Carnivora; Canidae. The record is from Rfam by way of RNAcentral. RNAcentral also lists the same sequence under 1 other name.
GCUGGCUGGCUCAGUCAAUAGAGCACAAGACUCUUGAUCUUGGGGUUGUGAGUUUGAGCCCCAUGUUGGGCA